UCCCCUCCCUCCUUCUCCUCCUCUUCCUCAUCACAACCUUCGCGAUCCUGCCCUCCCAAUCCAUAGUAACUUCUUCUACCUCCACCUCUUCCUUGCCAGCAACCCAUCCUUCCUUCUCAUCCCCUUUUUCUCUUUUUUUCUUUUGCUCCUCGUUGUCCUCCUCUUCUAAACCCACCCAUAAGCUCUUUCUCUCUAUAGUGGCUCUCUCUACCUCUAUUUUUUCUUCACUGGUAACUCUUUUUUCCUCUUUCUUAUCCCU
Molecule: long non-coding RNA, 259 nt
Filed under: Elaeis guineensis (African oil palm)
Lineage: Eukaryota; Viridiplantae; Streptophyta; Magnoliopsida; Arecales; Arecaceae
Description: long non-coding RNA (EGUI_LNC079764)
Source: RNAcentral